This 199-nucleotide long non-coding RNA is filed under the name Capra hircus (goat). RNAcentral's name for it is "lncRNA (ENSCHIG00000002153.1)". The record is from RNAcentral. Lineage: Eukaryota; Metazoa; Chordata; Mammalia; Artiodactyla; Bovidae.
ACAGAGAGGACCACCACCCACAUCAUCCUGUCAGUAGAGAGUGUGUGUACCACGAUGCCAACAUUCCAGGUGGAAUCCUACACUGCUGUAUACUAUUCUUGGGCUCCAAAAUCAUUGCGGAUGGUGACUGCAACCAUGAAUUAAAAGAUGCUUGCUCCUUAAAAGGAAAGCUAUGACCAACCUAGACAGCAUAUUAACA